GCCAGCUUAGCUCAGUUGGUAGAGCAGCUGAUUCGUAAUCAGCAGGUCGCAGGUUCAAGUCCCGUAGCUGGCUCCA
This 76-nucleotide transfer RNA is filed under the name Desulfovibrionaceae bacterium. RNAcentral's name for it is "tRNA-Thr". It matches the Rfam family "tRNA". From Rfam's summary of the family: Transfer RNA (tRNA) molecules are approximately 80 nucleotides in length. Their secondary structure includes four short double-helical elements and three loops (D, anti-codon, and T loops). Further hydrogen bonds mediate the characteristic L-shaped molecular structure. tRNAs have two regions of fundamental functional importance: the anti-codon, which is responsible for specific mRNA codon recognition, and the 3' end, to which the tRNAs corresponding amino acid is attached (by aminoacyl-tRNA synthetases). tRNAs cope with the degeneracy of the genetic code in two manners: having more than one tRNA (with a specific anti-codon) for a particular amino acid; and 'wobble' base-pairing, i.e. permitting non-standard base-pairing at the 3rd anti-codon position. Lineage: Bacteria; Pseudomonadati; Thermodesulfobacteriota; Desulfovibrionia; Desulfovibrionales; Desulfovibrionaceae. The record is from RNAcentral.